Molecule: ribosomal RNA, 467 nt
Filed under: uncultured bacterium
Lineage: Bacteria
Description: partial 16S ribosomal RNA
Rfam family: Bacterial small subunit ribosomal RNA
Source: RNAcentral
GAUGAACGCUGGCGGCGUGCUUAACACAUGCAAGUCGAACGGAAAGGCCUCAGCUUGCUGGGGUGCUCGAGUGGCGAACGGGUGAGUAACACGUAGGUGAUCUGCCUUUCACUUCGGGAUAGGCUUGGGAAACUGGGUCUAAUACCGGAUAUUCACGGCACCGUGGUUGGUGUGGUGGAAAGCUUUUGCGGUGGGAGAUGAGCUUGCGGCCUAUCAGCUUGUUGGUGGGGUAAUGGCCUACCAAGGCGGCGACGGGUAGCCGGCCUGAGAGGGUGUGCGGCCACAUUGGGACUGAGAUACGGCCCAGACUCCUACGGGAGGCAGCAGUGGGGAAUUUUGCACAAUGGGCGGAAGCCUGAUGCAGCGACGCCGUGUGGGGGAUGAAGGCCUUCGGGUUGUAAACUCCUUUCGUCAGGGACGAAGUUUGUUUGACGGUACCUGGAUAAGAAGCACCGGCUAACUACGUG